Molecule: RNA transcript, 2217 nt
Organism: Gossypium raimondii (Peruvian cotton)
Lineage: Eukaryota; Viridiplantae; Streptophyta; Magnoliopsida; Malvales; Malvaceae
Gene name: protein ACTIVITY OF BC1 COMPLEX KINASE 8, chloroplastic
Exons: 13
Source: RefSeq, a predicted model, not a curated record
CCUCUCAGAGUACAUCUUAUCCCAUUACACAAUUCUCCAUCUCAAAUAAAAAAGAUAUAUCUUUAAUUCUUUAUUCGAAGAAAAGAAAAUCGAAAAACAAGCCCAGAAGCAAAGACCAGGCAGUUGAAAGGCACACAAAAGCUAGCUUAGCGGCCGUUGUUUCUUCACUACUUGCAUUUGCAUUUCCCCCCACUUACACCACAUAUAAAGCAUUGCAUUGGAUUACCCAAAUCGCAUUUUCUUUCGCUUCUAAGCCACAAUUUAUCUUUCAUAAUUCCUACUAUUUUUUCUUUUUUAUCUUUAUUCAAAGGGUUUCUCUCUCUCUUUUUUUCCCCUGAAACUCUCGUCACUGUUCUUCUUCUUCUCUCUCUGUUUCAGCUUUUUUCUUUUUUUCCUUUAAUGGUCUAAGAAUGAGAAACUAAAAGACGCUGCUGAAUUCUUCUUCUUCUUGUAGAAGUGGGAGAGAAAAUGAGUGGUAUAGCUUCUCGUUUUGAUUUCAAAGAGAUUCAAGAGAAGGUUUCUCUUCAUUUGAGACCAUGGCAUCGUUCAUUUCAAUUCUGGGUUCGAGCUGCUGAUAUUUAUACUGGCUACAAGGUGUUUCAAGUCCGGGUGAGUUUCGUGAAGGAUGUUCAAAAACAACAUGCAAUGUGGGAAAGACAGCAUGAGCUUGCUGCUGAUAAGAUUUAUGCUAUGUGUUCUGACCUUGGUGGGUUCUUCCUUAAGGUUGCUCAAAUUAUUGGGAAGCCGGACCUAGCCCCAGCUGCAUGGGUGAAAAAGCUUGUUACUUUGUGUGAUCAAGCCCCUGCAACACCAUUUGAUGGUGUUCAACAUGUUUUAGAGAAGGAGUUGGGUCAAAGUAUUAGCGAAAUUUUUGAAAAGUUUGAUGUAAAUCCUCUUGGUUCGGCUUCAAUUGCACAGGUUCAUCGAGCAAGACUCAAAGGCAAUAAGAAUGAUGUUGUUGUUAAGGUUCAACAUCCUGGAAUCCAAGAACUGAUGAUGACUGACAUCCGUAACUUGCAAGCAUUUGCAUUGUACAUGCAAAAGACAGAUAUCAAAUUCGAUUUGUAUUCUGUUACCAAAGAAAUGGAAACACAGAUUGGGUAUGAAUUCGAUUUUCUAAGAGAAGCCAAUGCUAUGGAGAGGAUUCACCAUUUCUUAUAUGAGAACAACAGAAAAUCUCCAGUUCUAGUUCCGAGAGUGGUUCGGGAUUUGGCUUCAAGGAGGGUCUUAGUGAUGGAAUAUAUCGAUGGAAUCCCGAUCUUGAAACUCGGUGAUGAAAUGGCUAAAAGAGGGAUUAAUCCUGGUGGUAAGAUGGCAGCAGCAGCAAAGCAGAACAUACUUAAGAGUUUGACACUAGCAUAUGGCCAGAUGAUACUAAAGAGUGGUUUCUUCCAUGCAGAUCCCCAUCCCGGGAAUAUAUUGAUCUGUAAAGGUUCAGAGGUUGCUUUACUGGACUACGGGCAAGUGAAGGAUCUGCCUGACCAAUUGAGGCUCGGAUAUGCUAAUUUGGUUCUAGCCAUAGCUGAUAAUGAUCCUGUAAAAGCAAUGGAAAGUUAUAGAGAACUCGGGAUAGGUACUGUAAGCAACUGUGGGAAUGAACAACAGGAACUGCUUCGCUUGGCCCAAACAAUGUUUGAUACGAAACUACCUCCCGGAGUGGUAAUGCUGCAACCUUUCUCCGAAGAUUCUUCAAUAAAGAAAAUCGCUGUAGAGUCUUUCCCCGAGGAACUCUUCUCGAUUCUUCGUACAGUACAUCUUUUGAGAGGACUUAGUGUUGGUCUUGGAAUUAACUUCUCGUGUGCAGAACAAUGGAGGCCUAUUGCAGAAGAGGCUUUGUAUAAUGCUGGAAGGUUAAAAGAAAGAGUAGAGUACGAAAGCUGAGUUCUUUCAGGAGAUUUACCUGGAGAAAUUGAUCGGCAGUUGUACAAAAAGGAAUCAAAGCAUUAAGACCAAUAUACGAAAUCUGGGUUCUUUUGGGAGAUUUUUUCCAGAGAGCUUGAUUGGCAACCUGAAGAAAAGGUAGGGCUUAAACCAGUCUAUAUAAGUACCAGGUUGCUGUAUAUAUAUAUAGAGAGAGAGAGAGAUUACUAGCUUAUUUAUGGACUGAUUUAACUGUUUCUUAUUUUCUUUUUUUGAUUUCGAUUUUUGAAAUUCGAUUCAUUUGUAACAAAUACAUCAUCUACAUUCAUUAGGCAUCUUCGUUUGUGAUUUUUACGA